This is a small nuclear RNA of Vombatus ursinus (common wombat), 104 nucleotides long. Lineage: Eukaryota; Metazoa; Chordata; Mammalia; Diprotodontia; Vombatidae. The record is from Ensembl.
GUGCUGGCUUUGGCAGCACAUAUAUUAAAAUUGGAACGAUACAGAGAUUAGCAUGGCCCCUGCGCAAGGAUGACAAGCAAAUUCGCGAAGCAUUCCAUGUUUUG